UACAGAGGUCCCAAGCGUUGUUCGGAUUUACUGGGCGUAAAGGGUGCGUAGGCGGUUGGGUAAGUCUGAUGUGAAAUCUCCGGGCCUAACCCGGAAACUGCAUUGGAUACUAUCCAGCUUGAGAGUUGGAGGGGGGACUGGAAUACUUGGUGUAGCAGUGAAAUGCGUAGAUAUCAAGUGGAACACCAGUGGCGAAGGCGAGUCCCUGGACAACUUCUGACGCUGAGGCACGAAAGCCAGAGGAGCAAACGGG
Molecule: ribosomal RNA, 253 nt
Filed under: uncultured bacterium
Lineage: Bacteria
Description: partial 16S ribosomal RNA
Rfam family: Bacterial small subunit ribosomal RNA
Source: RNAcentral